RNAcentral lists this ribosomal RNA (464 nucleotides) under Vreelandella stevensii. RNAcentral's name for it is "partial 16S ribosomal RNA". It matches the Rfam family "Bacterial small subunit ribosomal RNA", at positions 338 to 795 of the family's 1533-position model. The record is from RNAcentral. Lineage: Bacteria; Pseudomonadati; Pseudomonadota; Gammaproteobacteria; Oceanospirillales; Halomonadaceae.
CCUACGGGUGGCAGCAGUGGGGAAUAUUGGACAAUGGGCGAAAGCCUGAUCCAGCAUGCCGCGUGUGUGAAGAAGGCCUUCGGGUUGUAAAGCACUUUCAGUGGGGAAGAAAGCCUUGGGGCUAAUACCCUCGAGGAAGGACAUCACCCACAGAAGAAGCACCGGCUAACUCCGUGCCAGCAGCCGCGGUAAUACGGAGGGUGCGAGCGUUAAUCGGAAUUACUGGGCGUAAAGCGCGCGUAGGCGGUCUGAUAAGCCGGUUGUGAAAGCCCCGGGCUCAACCUGGGAACGGCAUCCGGAACUGUCAGGCUAGAGUGCAGGAGAGGAAGGUAGAAUUCCCGGUGUAGCGGUGAAAUGCGUAGAGAUCGGGAGGAAUACCAGAGGCGAAGGCGGCCUUCUGGACUGACACUGACGCUGAGGUGCGAAAGCGUGGGUAGCAAACAGGAUUAGAUACCCCAGUAGUC